Myotis brandtii (Brandt's bat) is the source of this 75-nucleotide non-coding RNA. NCBI's taxonomy places the organism in Eukaryota, Metazoa, Chordata, Mammalia, Chiroptera, Vespertilionidae. The record is from Rfam.
AGCGGUUCUCAGGUGAUGUACCCAGAACCAGAAAGGAGGGAGCCUGAUUCUGGGGUGCAUCACCUGAGAACUGCC